This 754-nucleotide ribosomal RNA is filed under the name uncultured Prevotella sp. Its description in RNAcentral is "bacterial SSU rRNA". It matches the Rfam family "Bacterial small subunit ribosomal RNA", at positions 745 to 1512 of the family's 1533-position model. The record is from RNAcentral. Lineage: Bacteria; Pseudomonadati; Bacteroidota; Bacteroidia; Bacteroidales; Prevotellaceae.
GCUUAAGCUCGAAGGUGCGGGUAUCGAACAGGAUUAGAUACCCUGGUAGUCCGCACAGUAAACGAUGGAUGCCCGCUGUUGGUACCUGGUAUCAGCGGCUAAGCGAAAGCAUUAAGCAUCCCACCUGGGGAGUACGCCGGCAACGGUGAAACUCAAAGGAAUUGACGGGGGCCCGCACAAGCGGAGGAACAUGUGGUUUAAUUCGAUGAUACGCGAGGAACCUUACCCGGGCUUGAAUUGCAGAGGAAGGAUUUAGAGAUAAUGACGCCCUUCGGGGUCUCUGUGAAGGUGCUGCAUGGUUGUCGUCAGCUCGUGCCGUGAGGUGUCGGCUUAAGUGCCAUAACGAGCGCAACCCCUCUCUUCAGUUGCCAUCAGGUAAUGCUGGGCACUCUGGAGACACUGCCACCGUAAGGUGUGAGGAAGGUGGGGAUGACGUCAAAUCAGCACGGCCCUUACGUCCGGGGCUACACACGUGUUACAAUGGCCGGUACAGAGGGACGGUGUAAUGCAAAUUGCAUCCAAUCUUGAAAGCCGGUCCCAGUUCGGACUGGGGUCUGCAACCCGACCCCACGAAGCUGGAUUCGCUAGUAAUCGCGCAUCAGCCAUGGCGCGGUGAAUACGUUCCCGGGCCUUGUACACACCGCCCGUCAAGCCAUGAAAGCCGGGGGUGCCUGAAGUCCGUGACCGUAAGGAUCGGCCUAGGGCAAAACUGGUGAUUGGGGCUAAGUCGUAACAAGGUAGCCGUACCGGAAGG